ACCACCCUUGAUCUGGGCCGACAUGGUCUGC
This 31-nucleotide non-coding RNA is filed under the name Homo sapiens (human). The record is from RNAcentral. Lineage: Eukaryota; Metazoa; Chordata; Mammalia; Primates; Hominidae.